UUUAUUUGUCUUAAGUCAAACUCGUUCAAUUUUAACCAAGUUUAUAGAAGAAUAUAACAAUAUCUAUACUACCAAAUAUAUGAACUAUCAAAAUAUAUUUCAUAGUAGAUUUAAUGAAAUAAAUUUAAUAUUAUAGAUAUUGUUAUAUUUUUUUAUAAACUUGGUCAAAGUUGAACGAGUUUAACUUAGGACAAACCAAA
RNAcentral lists this microRNA precursor (200 nucleotides) under Dichanthelium oligosanthes. RNAcentral's name for it is "MIR1435 microRNA precursor family". It matches the Rfam family "MIR1435 microRNA precursor family". Lineage: Eukaryota; Viridiplantae; Streptophyta; Magnoliopsida; Poales; Poaceae. The record is from Rfam by way of RNAcentral.